CAGACCUACAAAAAUGAAGAAGAAUGAAUCAAACAUAAAUCACGAAGAAGAACUUCAUCAAUUGUAUCGCUGCACAAGAAUGUAUAUUUACAGAUAUUUACAUGACUGAUUGCACAGGACCAACAGCAGUCAAAGUGGCGCAUCUGAAGGACAGCACACUCACUGCCAGACCUUAGACAUCCUUGGCCCAUUGGUUGUUUGUUUUUCGUUGUACUGCGUUCAUGCGCCUGCCCGUGAAAUCGGCUAGACACGCUACCCCUCACCACGUGACCGCCGAUUGCACGUCUACGGGACCGGCCCACCUUGCCCGGCAAAAAGGUCACACAAUUUUAAUUUACUACCUAUUCUCUACGUAUACAGAAGAGAUUAGUAUGUACCUACUGCAGUCAGGUUUCAAACAGUACACCCCUGGAUUGAAUAAUAUGCCGAAUGUGGGUUGACUAUUCAAACACUGCUAAACGAGCACAGUAUAAUUUUAAUGAGAUGAAUUUUUCGUGUCCCUGUACGGCUGUCUCUUGGGACGGUUCGCUGUAGCAUUUCAUCCUUCUAAUUUUUUUAGAAUGUGCUGUAACAUGCCACUUUGUUUCUAAGGUAUAUCUCGUGGUAUAUGACGAUGUUGCCAUUUUUUGAAAACGAGUCAAAUAAGCAUAAGCAUCGGAUAGCCAAGCGCAGACGCAUGUACGUAUCUAAAGCAGCAAUAUUUUGUGCGUGAUACUGCACCCCACCUGCAUCUGAAUGGUACCAACAAUAUAUAUCAGAGACAAAGAAUUCGUUUCAAGAACAAGAUAAGAAAUUUCGGAUAAAACAGCAGGAUUGUACAUUCAACUUGUUUAUAGCCCGAUGUCGGAGAAGUUUUCCAAAAUUUAUGAACUUCUACGUGAAUGAAGCACUAAAAAACGCUCAUAAACAAUUUCGGAAAAACGAUCAGAAUUUGCGCAAAUCAAAAAGGUCUUCGAGCGCUUGCUUCUCGUAGACACGUGUAAAAUGGUUCGGUGCAAGAAAAUUUCACUGAUCGCAGCGUAAAAAUGAAAGGAACAUUAAUAGACUGUCUACAACACUAGAUGGCAGACUCCAAGAAAUACUCACAUGUUGCAAC
Long non-coding RNA from Dermacentor albipictus, 1096 nucleotides. RefSeq lists it as uncharacterized. The record is from RefSeq and is a predicted model, not a curated record. Lineage: Eukaryota; Metazoa; Arthropoda; Arachnida; Ixodida; Ixodidae.